UGAACCUGCGGAAGGAUCAUUAAAAGAAUCUGUGCAUGCUUUAUGCGUAUCACAAUUCACACCCCCUCUGGGUAUCAUGCCUGUUGCUUCCGUUGGGCGGCCUCCACCCCUGGAGGGGUGGCACCACCGAGAUGAGUCACGUGCAGCGAUGUUGCGGGUGACUCUCGAGGACAGUUCCAGCGGAAGGCUCCCGUCAAACCAUUUGCAUUAUCUUGCUUUCAGUCUGAACUUUGUUAACAAUUGUUAAAACUUUCAACAACGGAUCUCUUGGUUCUCGCAUCGAUGAAGAACGCAGCGAAAUGCGAUAAGUAGUGUGAAUUGCAGAAUUCAGUGAAUCAUCGAAUCUUUGAACGCACAUUGCGCCUCCUGGUAUUCCGGGAGGCAUGCCUGUUCGAGCGUCAUAAAAACCUCCUCAAGCGUUUUCGCUUGGUUAUGGAGGCUGAGCUGUGCCUUUCGGUCACCUCACCUUCGAAAUCCAGAGGCAGAUUGCCCUGUGUUGUCCUGGCGUGAUAAGUUAACUCUUUCGCUUGGAUUUACAAGGUAAUCUUGCGGCGAUACUUUAAUAAUUUAUGUUGACCUCGGAUCAGGUAGGGAUACCCGCUGAACUUAAGCAUAUCAAUAAGCGGAGGAAAAGAAAC
This 638-nucleotide ribosomal RNA is filed under the name Otidea platyspora. RNAcentral's name for it is "eukaryotic LSU rRNA". The stretch from base 248 to 401 matches the Rfam family "5.8S ribosomal RNA". Lineage: Eukaryota; Fungi; Ascomycota; Pezizomycetes; Pezizales; Pyronemataceae. The record is from RNAcentral.